RNAcentral lists this long non-coding RNA (252 nucleotides) under Elaeis guineensis (African oil palm). RNAcentral describes it as "long non-coding RNA (EGUI_LNC059472)". The record is from RNAcentral. Lineage: Eukaryota; Viridiplantae; Streptophyta; Magnoliopsida; Arecales; Arecaceae.
AUCACCACAAUGACUUGCAAGUAAUGAUACUUUGAUGUCGGACUAUCUGUAUUUCUAAUACCAUGAUGAAAGAUUUUUGGAUGCAACCAAGUACUUGUUAAGUUGACGUGUGAGUCAAGAUCGAGUUGACCGCUCCAAGUUGUUGGAGAUAAUGCUCGGAUAUAUCUCAAUUUAGCAAAUUCUUGGCCAGAGUUGUCCUUAUGAGGAGUCAUAAGAUUUUUAAGAUUGAGAUACUAUAUCGAUGCACUGAUU